GCCGCGCGCAGAUACGACAAAUGAAACGCCAACUUUUAGAUAUUUGUUCACGAAAAAGGGGCAGUUUAACUUUUACAAACGAGUGGAAACAUUGCGCGCAUUUUAGGACACCGACUGACUCACGUGCCUUUUUUUUUUGAAGAACCUGAGAGGGAGAACGAGUCCAAAGACUCAAGGACGAACACAAUGGGCGAAUAUUCAGAUUAGGAUCUCCCUUUAGAUCUCCCUUUGUGGAGCAGUGGCCUCCUCGUUGUGAAUGACACGGUGAGCUGGAGAGAGGAUUUUAAAGCACGCAGGUUCAUUGCGGAUGUCAAGAGAAA
Molecule: non-coding RNA, 320 nt
Organism: Plectropomus leopardus (leopard coralgrouper)
Lineage: Eukaryota; Metazoa; Chordata; Actinopteri; Perciformes; Serranidae
Source: RefSeq, a predicted model, not a curated record